Oreochromis aureus is the source of this 323-nucleotide long non-coding RNA. RefSeq lists it as uncharacterized. The transcript has 3 exons. Lineage: Eukaryota; Metazoa; Chordata; Actinopteri; Cichliformes; Cichlidae. The record is from RefSeq and is a predicted model, not a curated record.
CAUAAUUUCACCACAAACCAGUCACAACCAGCGGCUCUUUGCAAGACUUCAGACAGAGGAGCGAAAAGGAUGAUCAGAAGAGUUCUCCAAGAGCUACAAGAAGACCUGAAAUCAGCAGGAGGAUUAACUCUGUGCUCGGGUGCGUUUGGCUGUACUGUCCCGUUGCUGACGACCACAUCUGUGAGGCAGUCGUCAUCAGUCUGAUCCUUGGCAAAGUUGACAAAUACCUACAAAAGUGGGAUUUGGCAGAUUGGCCCUCACCUGGUCCAGCGUGGUCUGUGAAAUGGAGAAAUCAACGAUGUCCAGCUCCUCGUAGUUGUUUG